UAAAGCUACAAAGAGCUAAUGGGGAAUGCCUUGGUACUGACAGCCGAUGAAGGACGUGUAAAGCUGCGAUAAGCUGCGGGGAACUGCUAAAAGGUCUUGAUCCGCAGAAAUCCGAAUGGGGAAACCCUAUCAAGUUAAAACUUGAUAACUCACAAGUGAAUACAUAGCUUGUGUAGAGGAAAGCCUGUGAACUGAAACAUCUUAGUAACAGGACGAAGAGAAAAUAACCCAAUGAUUCCGAGAGUAGCGGCGAGCGAAAUUGGAAGAGCCUAAAUUGUGUGUACGUGAUAGCCUGCAAGCGUUGUGCACAUGAGGUUGUGGGACUUGCAUCAUAUUUUGCAGAAUAUGGAUUGAGUUAGAAAAUUAUUUAUUAGUUAAAGUCAACUGGGAAGUUGCGCCAUAGAGAGUGAUAGCCUCGUAAACGACAAUAAAUAAUCUCAAGUAAGUAUCCCGAGUAAGGCGGGGCACGUGAAACCCUGUCUGAAUCCACCGGGACCAUCCGGUAAGGCUAAAUACUAGUCAGUGACCGAUAGUGAACGAGUACAGUGAUGGAAAGGCGAAAAGAACAGUGAGAAGCUGAGUGAAAUAGACCCUGAAACCGUUAGCUUACAACCAGUCAGAGCACAAUUAAUUGUGUGAUGGCGUGCCUGUUGAAGAAUGAGCCGGCGAGUUAUUUUUUGUUGCGAGGUUAAGGAGAUUAUAUCCGGAGCCACAGGGAAACCGAGUCUGAAUAGGGCGUUAAGUAACAGGAAAUAGACCCGAACCUUGGUGAUCUAACCUUGACCAGGAUGAAGCGUGGGUAACACUACGUGGAGGUCCGAACCAACCGAUGUUGAAAAAUCGGUGGAUGAGUUGAGGUUAGGGGUGAAAUGCCAAUCGAACCAAGAGCUAGCUGGUUCUCCCCGAAAUGCGUUUAGGCACAGCGUUGGAUUUAUCUUGCAGGAGGUAGAGCACUGGUUUUGUGCGGGCGUCGAAAUGAUGUACCAAACAAUGUCAAACUCCGAAUACCUGUAAUGUCAUUAUCCAGCAGUGAGGCUAUGAGUGAUAAGAUCCAUGGCCAAGAGGGAAACAGCCCAGAACGCCAGUUAAGGUCCCUAAUAUAUGCUAAGUGGUUAAGGAGGUAGAGUUACUGAGACAACCAGGAGGUUGGCUUAGAAGCAGCCAUCCCUUGAAAGAGUGCGUAAUAGCUCACUGGUCAAGUGACUCCGCGCCGAAAAUACACCGGGACUAAAGCAUAUAACCGAAGCUGCGUCAUAUAGUUUACUAUAUGGGUAGGGGAGCGUACUGUAGUAAGACGAAGCUAGAGUGAAAACACUAGUGGAUGAGGCAGUAGUGAGAAUGUCGGCAUAAGUAGCGAAAACAUUGGUGAGAAUCCAAUGCACCGAAAACCUAAGGUUUCCCACGGCAGGCUCGUCCGCGUGGGGUUAGUCGGAUCCUAAGCUCAGGCCAAACGGCGUAGGCGAUGGACAAUAGGUUGAUAUUCCUAUACUAUCUGAUAAUCGUUAUCAGAAGCGGAGGGACGCAAGAGGAUAAGCACGCAGUCGACUGGAAGAGACUGUAUAAGCGUGUAGCUAGGUUUGACAGGAAAAUCCGUCAAAUCGUUAAUGUGAGGCGUGAUGUGGAGAGUCUACGGACUCGAAGGUGUUGACUCCAAAUUGCCAAGAAAAUCUUCGCUCUCGAGAUUAUUGGGUAUCCGUACCGUAAACCGCCACAGGUAGGUUGGUAGAAAAUACUAAGGUGCGCGAGACAACUCUCGCUAAGGAACUCGGCAAAAUCACCUCGUAACUUCGGGAGAAGAGGUACCCUGGUAGCGUGAAGCGAUUUACUCGUGAAGCGUGAUAGGGUCGCAGUGAAUAGGCCCAAGCGACUGUUUACCAAAAACACAGGUCUCUGCUAAGUCGAUCAAGACGAUGUAUAGGGGCUGACGCCUGCCCGGUGUCGGAAGGUUACGCGGAAAUGUUAGAAGCAAUUCAAAGCAUCGAAGCUAAGCCCCGAUGAACGGCGGCCGUAACUAUAACGGUCCUAAGGUAGCGAAAUUCCUUGUCAGGUAAGUUCUGACCCGCACGAAUGGCGUAACGAUUUGGGCGCUGUCUCGGCGAGAGGCUCGGCGAAAUUGGAUUAUCCGUGAAGAUACGGAUUACGUGUACCAGGACAGAAAGACCCUAUUGAGCUUUACUGUAGCUUGAAAUUGAAUUCGGGU
This 2200-nucleotide ribosomal RNA is filed under the name human gut metagenome. Its description in RNAcentral is "bacterial LSU rRNA". It matches the Rfam family "Bacterial large subunit ribosomal RNA", at positions 1 to 2128 of the family's 2925-position model. The record is from RNAcentral.